This 484-nucleotide ribosomal RNA is filed under the name uncultured bacterium. RNAcentral's name for it is "partial 16S ribosomal RNA". It matches the Rfam family "Bacterial small subunit ribosomal RNA", at positions 30 to 507 of the family's 1533-position model. The record is from RNAcentral.
AUUGAACGCUGGCGGCAGGCCUAACACAUGCAAGUCGAGCGGAUGAAGGGAGCUUGCUCCUGGAUUCAGCGGCGGACGGGUGAGUAAUGCCUAGGAAUCUGCCUGGUAGUGGGGGAUAACGUCCGGAAACGGGCGCUGAUACCGCAUACGUCCUGCGGGAGAAAGUGGGGGAUCUUCGGACCUCACGCUAUCAGAUGAGCCUAGGUCGGAUUAGCUAGUUGGUGGGGUAAAGGCCUACCAAGCCGACGAUCCGUAACUGGUCUGAGAGGAUGAUCAGUCACACUGGAACUGGAACACGGUCCAGACUCCUACGGGAGGCAGCAGUGGGGAAUGUUAGACAAUGGGCGAAAGCCUGAUCCAGCGGUGCCGCGUGUGUGAAGAAGGUCUUCGGAUUGUAAAGCACUUUAAGUUGGGAGGAAGGGCAGUAAGUUAAUACCUUGCUGUUUUGACGUUACCAACAGAAUAAGCACCGGCUAACUUCGUG